Molecule: ribosomal RNA, 344 nt
Filed under: bacterium enrichment culture clone ALO1_GLFRUDD03GPF4C
Lineage: Bacteria
Description: bacterial SSU rRNA
Rfam family: Bacterial small subunit ribosomal RNA
Source: RNAcentral
GAGUUUGAUCUUGGCUCAGAUUGAACGCUGGCGGCAUGCCUUACACAUGCAAGUCGAACGGCAGCACGGGAGCUUGCUCCUGGUGGCGAGUGGCGAACGGGUGAGUAAUGCAUCGGAACGUAUCCUGGAGUGGGGGAUAACGUAGCGAAAGUUACGCUAAUACCGCAUAUUCUGUGAGCAGGAAGCGGGGACCUUCGGGCCUCGCGCUCUUGGAGCGGCCGAUGUCGGAUUAGCUAGUUGGUGAGGUAAAGGCUCACCAAGGCGACGAUCCGUAGCAGGCCUGAGAGGAUGAUCUGCCACACUGGAACUGAGACACGGUCCAGACUCCUACGGGAGGCAGCAGU